Molecule: ribosomal RNA, 512 nt
Filed under: uncultured bacterium
Lineage: Bacteria
Description: bacterial SSU rRNA
Rfam family: Bacterial small subunit ribosomal RNA
Source: RNAcentral
GAUGAACGCUGGCGGCGUGCCUAACACAUGCAAGUCGAACGAAGCUCCCCGAAUUGAGUUUUCGGACAAGAGGAAGGGAUGACUUAGUGGCGGACGGGUGAGUAACGCGUGAGCAACCUGCCUCGGAGUGGGGGACAACAGUUGGAAACGACUGCUAAUACCGCAUAACGUGCAGAGGGGACAUCUCCUUUGCACCAAAGAUUUAUUGCUCUGAGAUGGGCUCACGUCUGAUUAGUUAGUUGGUAGGGUAACGGCCUACCAAGACUGCGAUCAGUAGCCGGACUGAGAGGUCGAACGGCCACAUUGGGACUGAGAUACGGCCCAGACUCCUACGGGAGGCAGCAGUGGGGAAUUUUGGACAAUGGGCGAAAGCCUGAUCCAGCCAUGCCGCGUGCAGGAUGAAGGCCUUCGGUUGUAACUGCUUUGUACGGUACGAAAGACUCCUUCUAAUAAAGGGGUUACGAUGACGGUACCGUAAGAAUAAGACACCGGCUAACUACGUAGCCAGCACG